UCACCCCACGGGGGAGAGUCCUCGCGGAUCACCGCGGGGCGCCGAAGGGGCAAACUCCCCGGAACCUCUCAGGCGCCAGGACCUCGUGGAUCAG
RNAcentral lists this non-coding RNA (94 nucleotides) under Janibacter hoylei. Its description in RNAcentral is "Glycine sequence". It matches the Rfam family "Glycine riboswitch aptamer". Rfam says of the family: This family represents the bacterial glycine riboswitch. Glycine riboswitches usually consist of two metabolite-binding aptamers domains with similar structures in tandem. The aptamers cooperatively bind glycine to regulate the expression of downstream genes. Lineage: Bacteria; Bacillati; Actinomycetota; Actinomycetes; Micrococcales; Intrasporangiaceae. The record is from RNAcentral.